Molecule: long non-coding RNA, 577 nt
Organism: Drosophila albomicans
Lineage: Eukaryota; Metazoa; Arthropoda; Insecta; Diptera; Drosophilidae
Exons: 2
Source: RefSeq, a predicted model, not a curated record
UCUAUCUGGUUGUGGCAGUGGUCUUAAGAAGCACUAAUCCCAGCUUCCCAUUCAGCUAAUGUUCAAAUGCAAUGUUUUUAACACAUUCGAAUCUCCGGUUUUAUCAUGCUGGCUCUUUGAAUCAUUGAAAUCCUGAAAAAUGUCUUUCGAAUAUUGCAAAAUCCCGAAUAACUUUCACUACGCCAGAAACAACACUUUGGAUGCAUUUGUUAAAAAGUUUUUUUCAUUUAUUCUAAGACGCGAUAUUCACUCAAAACAUAGAACGAAUGCGACCUGGAAUUUACAAUUUAACGGGCUUGGGCUUGCCUUGCUGGGCAGCAAUGCGCUCGUUGUAACGCUUCACUGACUCCUCGCGGGAAAGAUUUCCCUUGCGGGCAUAACGCUGAUUGAUCAGGAACUUGACAUCCAUCUGUGGAAAAUUCACAAUUUUAGAUUGAUUUUGCAAUUAACUAGUUGGUUGGUUGAAUUCUACUUACACCCAGGGUGGACUCGUGGCGCUUACGCAGUGGGCGCUUGAUGCCAUUGCGGUGAGCCUUCUUGUUCUGGUUAUGAUUUGUGUGAUUCUUGGACUUGGCCA